Molecule: ribosomal RNA, 310 nt
Filed under: uncultured bacterium
Lineage: Bacteria
Description: partial 16S ribosomal RNA
Rfam family: Bacterial small subunit ribosomal RNA
Source: RNAcentral
AAGAGACAGCAGUCGCCGCGGGAAUACAGAGGGUGCGAGCGUUAAUCGGAUUUACUGGGCGUAAAGCGUGCGUAGGCGGCUUUUUAAGUCGGAUGUGAAAUCCCUGAGCUUAACUUAGGAAUUGCAUUCGAUACUGGGAAGCUAGAGUAUGGGAGAGGAUGGUAGAAUUCCAGGUGUAGCGGUGAAAUGCUUAGAGAUCUGGAGGAAUACCGAUGGCGAAGGCAGCCAUCUGGCCUAAUACUGACGCUGAGGUACGAAAGCAUGGGGAGCAAACAGGAUUAGAUACCCCCGUAGUCCCUGUCUCUUAUAA